UACGUAGGGGGCGAGCGUUGUCCGGAAUCAUUGGGCGUAAAGCGCGUGUAGGCGGCCCGGUAAGUCCGCCGUGAAAGUCCAGGGCUCAACCCUGGGAUGCCGGUGGAUACUGUCGGGCUCGAGUCCGGAAGAGGCGAGUGGAAUUCCUGGUGUAGCGGUGAAAUGCGCAGAUAUCAGGAGGAACACCAAUGGCGAAGGCAGCUCGCUGGGACGUGACUGACGCUGAGACGCGAAAGCGUGGGGAGCAAACAGG
This 253-nucleotide ribosomal RNA is filed under the name uncultured bacterium. RNAcentral describes it as "partial 16S ribosomal RNA". It matches the Rfam family "Bacterial small subunit ribosomal RNA", at positions 524 to 776 of the family's 1533-position model. The record is from RNAcentral.